UACAGAGGUCUCAAGCGUUGUUCGGAUUCAUUGGGCGUAAAGGGUGCGUAGGUGGCGCCGUAAGUCGGGUGUGAAAUUUCGGAGCUUAACUCCGAAACUGCAUUCGAUACUGCGGUGCUUGAGGACUGGAGAGGAGACUGGAAUUUACGGUGUAGCAGUGAAAUGCGUAGAUAUCGUAAGGAAGACCAGUGGCGAAGGCGGGUCUCUGGACAGUUCCUGACGCUGAGGCACGAAGGUCAGGGGAGCAAACGGG
This 253-nucleotide ribosomal RNA is filed under the name uncultured bacterium. RNAcentral describes it as "partial 16S ribosomal RNA". It matches the Rfam family "Bacterial small subunit ribosomal RNA", at positions 524 to 776 of the family's 1533-position model. The record is from RNAcentral.